UGUGGCGCCUUGGAGACUAGCUGGUUUGUUUGAGCAUAAGCUUUCAUGAGCUACAGCUCACUUCAUCGGAGCUCACGAAGGCUUAUGCUCAAAUGGAUUGGUUGGUCUCUAGGGUGCCACAAGUCCUCCUUUUUAGGUCAUUCUUCAUGACACUAACAUCAGAAGUAGCUCAAUCAAUCAGCACCAUUCCACUCCGGUUAAUUUGCGUGCUGCAGUUCUAUUAGUUGAACGAAUCAGUGUGUUGUACAUCUUUUUAUAAGAGCUCUAAAGAAAAGCCUAGGCAGGUUCUAAUGGGAUACCAUGGCAGUUGUGACAUAGCAGUAAUCAGUAACUUGUCUCUCUGGGGAAAUCUUAAAUGGGAGGGGAGAGAAGGGGCAGAUCUCAAAUGCUGUGGGCAUCUGAAUGUAGGUUCUGUGUCUCCGCCCCCACCCAGCUGUUGCUUUUUUUAGCAGGGGCAGGGGGAGGCUCAUUCCAUAGCACAGAGGGGGAACGAGCCCUGUUGACAGAAUCCUUCUGGAGUUCGAGUGGGGAUUGAAAUCGUGACGAGCAGCUGUCCUCCCUCUGGAUCCCACUGACAGUGGGCUACUGCUGCUCAUGCUGUGUCCUUUUCUAUGUGAAUGUCUCCAGUAUUGGCCACCUGGUGCCUUUCUAUUUGGGCUGCCGUUCCUGGUUGACAGUAGGUCCCUGUGAGCUGCUGUACUCAGAUGUCAAAAUGUUAGUCAAAUCUUCCCAAAUCCUAUAAAUAGCUAUAAUGAAAAUUAAAUACAAAAAGUUUCAUGCUAAGCCAGUUCAAAGAUCCAUCUUCCUAGCAAGGAAAACAAAGUUCUGGUUUCUAGAGCCAAGAAGAGUCACUUCAAAAUAAUUUCUUUCUGGAUUAUCAGACUUUAACGUUUUGGUACCUGGGGCCAGCUGUCACAUGUGUUUGAACCAUCUUUCAGUCACCACUAAUAGACUGGAUACCUGCACCAUCCCUCUAUUUCUGUGGGCAUACAAAUAAGGAAAUGAAUAUCUGAUGAAACCAAGGUGCUUCUAGUCACACAGGACAAUCACUCUCCUGUUUUUGUGUAAUUUUGAAGAGGUGUUUCUUUCCCAGUGUGAGGUUACCUUGUGAACGUAGUCCCAAAGACUUCAUUGUGUAACCGUGACUGCUGGGGCUGCAGUUCAGGAGUCUGAGACAGCCAGUCUCCUUACAGAGCAGUGGUCCAGAUGGAGACAGUGCCCCAAGGGUUUGGAGAAUUAAAUUCAGAUACAGUGGAACCUCAGAGUUACAAACUGACUGGUCAAAUACACACUGCAUUUAGAACUGGAAGUAUGCAACCAGGCUGCAGCAGAGGCCUCCAAAAAGCAACGGGGGAUGGGGGGAAGGAAAGUGUAAAAAAAGAUUUGACAAACUGUUUCGGUGCUUGUUUCAUUUAAAUUAAGAUGGUUAAAAGAGGCAUUUUUCUUCUGCAUAAUAAAGUUUAAAAGCUGUAUUAAAUCAA
Molecule: non-coding RNA, 1481 nt
Organism: Caretta caretta (loggerhead turtle)
Lineage: Eukaryota; Metazoa; Chordata; Testudines; Cheloniidae
Source: RefSeq, a predicted model, not a curated record